Molecule: long non-coding RNA, 803 nt
Organism: Megalobrama amblycephala (Wuchang bream)
Lineage: Eukaryota; Metazoa; Chordata; Actinopteri; Cypriniformes; Xenocyprididae
Exons: 3
Source: RefSeq, a predicted model, not a curated record
GCGAGAUUCAGUGAACUGCGAACAGAAGGGAGCGCGAGUGCAUUGAAAUAUUACGCGAAGGGGCUUGCAUCACCAGUGCAGACCACCAUCAGAAGCUGAAAGCACGCCUGGCCUCUGCAAUUUACCUGACUGAAUUUGGUCUCUGCGGCAGUCACAUGACCGAAAACCAUGAAUAGUCAUGUUGGAGCAACAGUUUGAAGAGAAUUUCGAUAUUUGAAGGAAACUAUCAAACUGAAGUUUGCAAAAUGGCACGGCAACAUCAGGACUGAACACUUGAAAUGCAUUGGAAAUGAAAGGAAGAAAAGGAUACAAAAUAGGUUUUCGGAGGUGAAAAAAGUUGUUUUUUUUCUUUUAAAUGAGGUUUGGGAUGAUCAGCACGCUUCCAGGCACCAGGCUAAUUUACUGCAUAAUCUCUUGGUGAAGGAAAGCAAUCUCAAAACUCCAAAGUGUUUAGAAGCAGGGUUGCCAAGUUUUCACAACACAACCCGCCUAAUUGCUACUCAAAACUAGCCCAGUCGUGUUUCAUGGGGGGUUUCCUGGUAAAAAUUCAAGUUUUUAGCAGGGUUCUCCUGGUAAAAUUUGCAUUACAAGGGCUAAAUAUCAUGUUAUUUGGGGUGGCUUCAACCGGCAGAGAUGAAAAACAACCCACGGCAACAGUGAUAAAGUAGCUCAAUUCUGCUGGAAAACCGCGUACUUGGCAACACUGUUUAGAAGAGCUCUGCCCAAAACAGCAGAACAGCUUCACUGAAAUACAAAGUCUGAUAAAACUACCAUCACUGUACUGUGAAUCAAUGAUUUUCAGC